Molecule: ribosomal RNA, 200 nt
Filed under: uncultured bacterium
Lineage: Bacteria
Description: partial 16S ribosomal RNA
Rfam family: Bacterial small subunit ribosomal RNA
Source: RNAcentral
AGCGAACGCUGGCGGCAGGCCUAACACAUGCAAGUCGAACGAAGUCUUCGGACUUAGUGGCGGACGGGUGAGUAACACGUGGGAACGUACCUUUUGGUUCGGAACAACUCAGGGAAACUUGAGCUAAUACCGAAUGUGCCCUUCGGGGGAAAGAUUUAUCGCCAUUAGAGCGGCCCGCGUUAGAUUAGCUAGUUGGUGGG